UAGAGUUUGAUCCUGGCUCAGGACGAACGCUGGCGGCGUGCCUAAUACAUGCAAGUCGAGCGGACAGAAGGGAGCUUGCUCCCGGAUGUUAGCGGCGGACGGGUGAGUAACACGUGGGUAACCUGCCUGUAAGACUGGGAUAACUCCGGGAAACCGGAGCUAAUACCGGAUAGUUCCUUGAACCGCAUGGUUCAAGGAUGAAAGACGGUUUCGGCUGUCACUUACAGAUGGACCCGCGGCGCAUUAGCUAGUUGGUGAGGUAACGGCUCACCAAGGCGACGAUGCGUAGCCGACCUGAGAGGGUGAUCGGCCACACUGGGACUGAGACACGGCCCAGACUCCUACGGGAGGCAGCAGUAGGGAAUCUUCCGCAAUGGACGAAAGUCUGACGGAGCAACGCCGCGUGAGUGAUGAAGGUUUUCGGAUCGUAAAGCUCUGUUGUUAGGGAAGAACAAGUGCAAGAGUAACUGCUUGCACCUUGACGGUACCUAACCAGAAAGCCACGGCUAACUACGUGCCAGCAGCCGCGGUAAUACGUAGGUGGCAAGCGUUGUCCGGAAUUAUUGGGCGUAAAGGGCUCGCAGGCGGUUUCUUAAGUCUGAUGUGAAAGCCCCCGGCUCAACCGGGGAGGGUCAUUGGAAACUGGGAAACUUGAGUGCAGAAGAGGAGAGUGGAAUUCCACGUGUAGCGGUGAAAUGCGUAGAGAUGUGGAGGAACACCAGUGGCGAAGGCGACUCUCUGGUCUGUAACUGACGCUGAGGAGCGAAAGCGUGGGGAGCGAACAGGAUUAGAUACCCUGGUAGUCCACGCCGUAAACGAUGAGUGCUAAGUGUUAGGGGGUUUCCGCCCCUUAGUGCUGCAGCUAACGCAUUAAGCACUCCGCCUGGGGAGUACGGUCGCAAGACUGAAACUCAAAGGAAUUGACGGGGGCCCGCACAAGCGGUGGAGCAUGUGGUUUAAUUCGAAGCAACGCGAAGAACCUUACCAGGUCUUGACAUCCUCUGACAACCCUAGAGAUAGGGCUUUCCCUUCGGGGACAGAGUGACAGGUGGUGCAUGGUUGUCGUCAGCUCGUGUCGUGAGAUGUUGGGUUAAGUCCCGCAACGAGCGCAACCCUUGAUCUUAGUUGCCAGCAUUCAGUUGGGCACUCUAAGGUGACUGCCGGUGACAAACCGGAGGAAGGUGGGGAUGACGUCAAAUCAUCAUGCCCCUUAUGACCUGGGCUACACACGUGCUACAAUGGACAGAACAAAGGGCUGCGAGACCGCAAGGUUUAGCCAAUCCCACAAAUCUGUUCUCAGUUCGGAUCGCAGUCUGCAACUCGACUGCGUGAAGCUGGAAUCGCUAGUAAUCGCGGAUCAGCAUGCCGCGG
This 1371-nucleotide ribosomal RNA is filed under the name Bacillus stratosphericus. RNAcentral's name for it is "bacterial SSU rRNA". It matches the Rfam family "Bacterial small subunit ribosomal RNA", at positions 1 to 1362 of the family's 1533-position model. Lineage: Bacteria; Bacillati; Bacillota; Bacilli; Caryophanales; Bacillaceae. The record is from RNAcentral.